GACGAACGCUGGCGGCGUGCUUAACACAUGCAAGUCGAACGGAAAGGCCCUGCUUUUGUGGGGUGCUCGAGUGGCGAACGGGUGAGUAACACGUGAGUAACCUGCCCUUGACUUUGGGAUAACUUCAGGAAACUGGGGCUAAUACCGGAUAGGAGCUCCUGCUGCAUGGUGGGGGUUGGAAAGUUUCGGCGGUUGGGGAUGGACUCGCGGCUUAUCAGCUUGUUGGUGGGGUAGUGGCUUACCAAGGCUUUGACGGGUAGCCGGCCUGAGAGGGUGACCGGCCACGUUGGGACUGAGAGACGGCCCAGACUCCUACGGGAGGCAGCAGUGGGGAAUAUUGCACAAUGGGCGGAAGCCGGAUGCAGCAGCGCCGCGUGCGGGAUGACGGCCUUCGGGUUGUAAACCGCUUUCGCCUGUGACGAAGCGUGAGUGACGGUAAUGGGUAAAGAAGCACCGGCUAACUACGUG
RNAcentral lists this ribosomal RNA (468 nucleotides) under uncultured bacterium. Its description in RNAcentral is "partial 16S ribosomal RNA". It matches the Rfam family "Bacterial small subunit ribosomal RNA", at positions 28 to 507 of the family's 1533-position model. The record is from RNAcentral.